RNAcentral lists this transfer RNA (67 nucleotides) under uncultured Salinisphaera sp. It matches the Rfam family "tRNA". From Rfam's summary of the family: Transfer RNA (tRNA) molecules are approximately 80 nucleotides in length. Their secondary structure includes four short double-helical elements and three loops (D, anti-codon, and T loops). Further hydrogen bonds mediate the characteristic L-shaped molecular structure. tRNAs have two regions of fundamental functional importance: the anti-codon, which is responsible for specific mRNA codon recognition, and the 3' end, to which the tRNAs corresponding amino acid is attached (by aminoacyl-tRNA synthetases). tRNAs cope with the degeneracy of the genetic code in two manners: having more than one tRNA (with a specific anti-codon) for a particular amino acid; and 'wobble' base-pairing, i.e. permitting non-standard base-pairing at the 3rd anti-codon position. The record is from RNAcentral. Lineage: Bacteria; Pseudomonadati; Pseudomonadota; Gammaproteobacteria; Salinisphaerales; Salinisphaeraceae.
GGCAUAGCGCAGCCUGGUAGCGCGUCUGCUUUGGGAGCAGAAGGUCACAGGUUCGAAUCCUGUUGCC